RNAcentral lists this unclassified non-coding RNA (344 nucleotides) under soil metagenome. RNAcentral describes it as "partial contains 5.8S ribosomal RNA, internal transcribed spacer 2, and large subunit ribosomal RNA". The stretch from base 1 to 120 matches the Rfam family "5.8S ribosomal RNA", at positions 35 to 154 of the family's 154-position model. The record is from RNAcentral.
GAUGAAGAACGUAGUGAAAUGCGAUACGUAAUGUGAAUUGCAGAAUUCAGUGAAUCAUCGAGUCUUUGAACGCACAUUGCGCCCUCUGGUAUUCCGGAGGGCAUGCCUGUCCGAGCGUCAUUGCUGCCCUCAAGCACGGCUUGUGUGUUGGGCCCCGUCCUCCUUCCGGGGGACGGGUCCGAAAGGCAGCGGCGGCACCGCGUCCGGUCCUCAAGCGUAUGGGGCUUCGUCACCCGCUCUUGUAGGCCCGGCCGGCGCUUGCCGACACAUCAAUCUUUUUUCCAGGUUGACCUCGGAUCAGGUAGGGAUACCCGCUGAACUUAAGCAUAUCAAUAAGCGGAGGA